CCCUUAGAUGUUCUGGGCAGCACGCGCGCUACAAUGGUCUUCGCAAACGGAUGCAUUCUCGAAGGAGAAUGCCAAUCUUGGAAUCUAUGCCUUGGUCGGGACAGUUGCUUGCAAUUUUUCGACUCGAACCAGGAAUUCCUUGUAAUCGUGAUUCAUCACAUCACGAUGAAUACGUCCCUGCACUUUGUACACACCGCCCGUCGCUCCUACCGAUCGAAGAGUUAGGUGAAUUGUUUUGAUCGAUAAGAUUUGACUAUGGUCAACUCUCGUUGUGAAAUUCUGUGAAUCUGACUGUUUAGAGGAAGGAAAAGUCGUAACA
RNAcentral lists this ribosomal RNA (319 nucleotides) under uncultured eukaryote. Its description in RNAcentral is "partial 18S ribosomal RNA". It matches the Rfam family "Eukaryotic small subunit ribosomal RNA", at positions 1470 to 1796 of the family's 1831-position model. The record is from RNAcentral.